CAGAGACUGCAAGCGUUAUUCGGAUUCACUGGGCGUAAAGGGUGCGCAGGCGGCUAAGUGUGUUAGAUGUGAAAUCCCGGGGCCCAACCCCGGAACUGCGUCUAAAACUACUUGGCUUAGAGUAUUGGAGAGGGUAGCGGAAUUCACGGUGUAGCAGUGAAAUGCGUAGAUAUCGUGAGGAACACCAGAGGCGAAGGCGGCUACCUGGACAAUUACUGACGCUCAGGCACGAAAGCGUGGGGAGCAAAAGGGGAUUAGAUACCCCUGUAGUCCCACGCCCUAAACGGUGCACACUAGGUCUUGGCGGAUUCGACCCUCCAGGGCCCAAGCUAACGCGUUAAGUGUGCCGCCUGAGGGACUACGGCCGCAAGGCUA
Molecule: ribosomal RNA, 375 nt
Filed under: uncultured organism
Description: bacterial SSU rRNA
Rfam family: Bacterial small subunit ribosomal RNA
Source: RNAcentral